Molecule: long non-coding RNA, 2289 nt
Filed under: Homo sapiens (human)
Lineage: Eukaryota; Metazoa; Chordata; Mammalia; Primates; Hominidae
Description: non-protein coding lnc-SLC17A6-4:1
Source: RNAcentral
UUGGAUAAAAUGCAACAUCCCUUCAUGAUAAAAAAAACCCUCAACUAACUAGACAUUAAAGGAACCUACCUCAAAAGAAUAAGAACCAUCUAUGACAAAACCACAGCCAACAUCAUAUUGAAGCAAAAGCUGGGCAAAAACUGGAAGCAUUUCCCUUAAGAAGGGGAAUGAGACAAGGAUGCCUACUCUCUUCACUCCUAUUCAACGUGGUACUGGAAAUUCUAGCCAGAGCGAUCAGGCAAAAGAAAGACAUAAAAUGCAUCCAAAUAGGAAAAGAAGAAGUCAAAUUAUCUCCCUACAAAAAAGUAAAAUAAAACACCUAGGAAUACAUCUAACUAGAGAAGUGAAAGAUCUCUACAAGAAGAACCACAAAACACUGCUGAAAGAAAUAAUAGAUGACACAAACAAAGGAAGAACCAAUAUCAUUAAAACGGCCAUACUGCCCAAAGCAAUCUAUAAAUUCCACACCAUUUCUAUCAAACUGCAGCUGUCAUCUGUUAUGGAAGUAGAAAAAAGUAUUCUAAAAUUCAUUUGGAACCAAAAAAAAAAAAAAAGAAAGAAAAAAGCCCAAAUAGCAAAAGCAAUUCUAAGCAAAAAGAACAAGCCAGAAACAUCACAUUACCUGACUUCAAGCUAUACCCUAAGGCUACAGUAACCAAAACAGUGUGGUACUGGUACAAAAACAGACAGAACAAUGAAACAGAAUAUAGAAUCCAGAACCAAAGCUGCCUACCUACAGCCAUCUGAUCUUUGACAACAUUACCAAAAAUAAGCAAUGGAGAAAGGACUCUCUUAUUCAAUAAAUGGUGCUGGGAUAAUGAGUAUCCAUAAGCAGAAGAAUGAAACUGGAUCCAUACCAAUCACUAUAUACAAAAAUUAGCUCAAGAUACAUUAAAGAUUUAAACGUAAGACUUCAAGCUAUAAGAAUUCUAGAAAAAAUCCUAGGAAAUACUAGGAUUCCUAAAUACUAGAGUAAAUCUGCAAAAGCAAUUGCAACGAAAACAAAAAUUGACAAGUGGGACCUAAUUAAACUAAAGAGCUUCUGCACAACAAAAUAAAUUCAAUGGAGUAAGAAGCAACCUACAGAAUGGGAGAAAAUAUUCACAAACUACACACCUGACAAAGGUCUAAUAUCCAGAAUCCAUAAGAAACUUAAACAAUUCAAUAAGCAAAGCCAAAUAACAUCAUUAAAAUUUGGGCAAAAGACAUGAACAGACACUUAAAAAAACAUACAAGUGGCCCCAAAACAUACAAAAAUAUUCUCAGUAUCACUAAUCAUCAGAGAAAUGUGAAUCAAAACCACAAUGAAGCCAGGCACAAUGGCUGACACCUGUAAUGCCAGCACUUUGGGAGGCCAAGGCAGACAGAUCACUGGACCCCAGUUUGAGACGAGCUCCACCUCUAUAAAAAAUUACAAAAACUCCACCUUUACAAAAAAAUACACACAAAAAAUUUAGCCAGGCAUGGUGGCAUCUGCCUGUAGUCCCAGCUACUCAGAGGGCUGAGGUUGGAGGAUCACUUGAGCCCAGGAGGUCAAGGCUGCAGUGAGCCAUGAUCACACCACUGCACAUCAGCCUAGGUGACAGAGCAAGAUCAUGUCUCAAAAACAAACAAACAAACAAACAAAAAACCCAUCAGUUACUGGUGAAGCUGCUGAGACAAGGGAAGACUUAUACACUGUUGGUGGGAAUGUGAAUUAGUUCAGCCACUGAGGAAAGCAGUUUGGAGAUUUUGUGAAGAGCUGAGAACCACUAUUCAACCCAUCAAUCGCGUUACUAGGUAUAUACCCAAAGGAAAAUAAAUCAUUCUACCAAAAAGACACAGGCACUCAUGUGUUCAUAGCAGCACCGUUCACAAUAGCAAAGAUGUGGAAUCAAUCUAAUUGCCCAUCAAUGGUGGAUUGGAUAAAGAAAAUGUAAGACAUAGAAUACUAUGCAGUCAUAGAAAAGAAUGAAAUCAUGUCAUUUGCAGCACCAUAGAGGCAGCUGAAGGCCAUUAUCUUAAGCAAAUUAACACAGAAACAGAAAACCCAAUACUGCAUGUUCUCACUUAUACAUGAGAGCUAAACACUGGGUACUCAUGGACAUAAAGAUGGGAACAAAAGACACUGGGAACUCUAGAGUGGAGAGCAAGGGAGGGAGGAAAGGCUAAACAAAAACUAAUUUGGUACUAUGAUCACUACCUGGGUAAUGGGAUCAUUUGUACCCCAAACCUCAACAUUAUGCAAUAUACCCAUGUAACAAUUCUGCACAUGUACCCCUGAAUCUAAAAUACAAGUUGAAAUUAUUU